Molecule: long non-coding RNA, 1201 nt
Organism: Solea solea (common sole)
Lineage: Eukaryota; Metazoa; Chordata; Actinopteri; Pleuronectiformes; Soleidae
Exons: 4
Source: RefSeq, a predicted model, not a curated record
UUCAAUCUAAAUUGUAAACUAUAUGUACAAUGCUAAAAGCAUUAGCAAACAUUAAAUGUUAAUCUCAGGCUAGCCAGUUUUAGCAAUAGCAGUCGAUGUCAGCUCCCUACGAGGUAUUGCUGCGCAGGCUAACAGCAUAGCAACAUGUUUACAAAAUAAAACAGCACUACGCGUACGAAAGCGAAACAAAUACGACAGAAGUGACAUCAACGGUGAAAGUCAUCGAGCCCCACCGUGAUUUCAUGUGUUUUUGUAACAAACUUUCAAAAACACAUCAGUGUGAUACCUCCUCACGUGCUAUACACGCUCUUUGUCUACGUCCUCCGCAUUCAGCAGUGACGUCACACAGACGGCGAGCUAAUAGAAGUGCCAACAAACCGAGACGACACAUGGAAGCGUCGACGUGAUUGGCUCAGAGCGUCGAUCCUGGCGCUGCGCGAGGACAGAGACGGGGACGAGCGUAGUUGCCAUGCAGGUUUUCUUUUGUUUUUGUUUUUCAUGGAGACGUCCGUGAACGCGCGCGCACACACGCACAUACACAGUAAUGAAAGAGCAGGAGUAUCAGUAUAACUAGAACAAAGAGAAAAAAGCAUUUUAAAGAUUUUCAUUCAGCAAAUUCAACUUAAAGCAAAUUCUUAAUCAAGCCCAAAUUAAGCAGACUAUUUAUUUGAACCAAUUUCAUAUUUUAGUAUUAUUUUAUGUCGGACACAAUCCAUGUCAUUAGGAAAAUCCUCAGAGGCAACAUUGUGUCUCCCUGGGCCAAGAAGGAGGACAGGGUCUUCAUUAUUUUUGAAGAUGAUGACCAAGUGGACCAGGUGAUGCACUUCUUGUCUGGAAUGGUUGAAAGUCCACAGACAGAUAAGAAGUGUGCAUAUCCUGUGGCUUUAAUCAUACAGAGCUGUACUCUCCAUCUCCCUGGACAAAGACAAAGACUGAAUUUCUUGAAUUUCCUUCGGGAUCAAUAAAGUAUCUAUCUAUCUAUCUAAGACAUGGACACAUGUGGAACUGAGUUUGACUCCAGCGAGAUAACUCAGCUUCAGAGCCACAGGUCCAAGGAAGCAAGGCUCAAACUGGAAAGCCUUAGAGAGUGAGGACUUUGUUGUUAGGCGCCUGUAAUCCCUGACAACUUUUUGAAAAAUGUAAAUAGUUAAUUGUCUGCUAUGCAUACAAAUAAAAACGAUAUAUCAUUCAUUACUUGUAU